CAAAGAUGUCAUUUGUUGGAUUUGUACACUCGGGGCAAGUGAGUUGAGCAUAGGAGUACGAAAAUGGUAAAGGUUUCGUGUCCUAUGGUAUAGUAUGCGUUGUGCUAUCAAAUGCGCGACCAUUCUAUUCUCGUCCCGGUCGACAAAAUCGAUCUUUCUCGAUGCUUCUAUGUGUGCACGUAUAUAAAUUCGUUCUUCGUGUGGCGGCAAACUCGUAUACCAACGUAAGCGUAUUUUUCGGUGCAGGUCGAUGUGCCGAGAAGCUUCUACCUUAGGACCUAUUCGAAUGCUCGUUUAGAAUUAAAACAAAAGUCAAAGUCCGCUACGAUGCAAAGAAACGAACGACACUCGAGAUGCGAUAAUAAAAGAAGAAACGAGAAAACUUAUAAGCUAUAUUUUAAGGAGCGUAACGAUGUCAAUUAUUUGUCAAUGUUGCAUCUUUUUAUAAUUCGCGAUAGAAACUCGCGAGACUGCGAGUCUGGAUUGGUUUGGCUCGAUGAGCUUUCCAUUGCUUUGCUUAUAUUUAGAUCGGAAAGAACGUUUCAACGGUUGAUUUAUUCGUGGGACGAAACGAAGAAAAAGAUCGAUUUAUAGAGAUUUUAGAAAAUGAAAACGCUUUAUAUCGCUAUAAAUAUGUUUGUACGCGCGUUACAUCACAUAGAUUAUAUCGAUCAAAUUUUCUGAUAAAUGACGACGUGAUUUUCAUUCAUAAUCCUUCCAAUUUCGCUUAGCAACCAAUUCUUUUCCCGAUAGUCUUUUUCAAUAUAUAUAUUCGAGUAAAAACACAAGAUUGUUUCGAAUAUUGAAAGACGUGCACCGACUUCGUUGAACACGAUAUCUGGAUUUACGAGUACGACAAAAUUCGUGAUGCGCGCGCAUUCUGAAUCUUCUCAACAACGUACGUAUGUGUCAUCAAUUUAUAUGUCACCAAUUUUGAUUGAUCGCGAAUCGAAUGACUCGCCGUUAAACCGUGUAUACCAAUGUUUAGAUUUAUUUCAUAACUUAAUACACAAUUACAGUCAACCAUUUCAAAUAUCAAUCGAGAAGAGUACCUAAAAAUAUUUCUUAUAUUGUAAAAGUCUAUUAGUCGAGAUAAUAAAUUUAUUUCCAAA
Molecule: long non-coding RNA, 1112 nt
Organism: Vespula vulgaris
Lineage: Eukaryota; Metazoa; Arthropoda; Insecta; Hymenoptera; Vespidae
Exons: 2
Source: RefSeq, a predicted model, not a curated record